CCUACGGGAGGCAGCAGUGAGGAAUAUUGGUCAAUGGACGAGAGUCUGAACCAGCCAAGUAGCGUGAAGGAUGACUGCCCUAUGGGUUGUAAACUUCUUUUAUAUGGGAAUAAAACGUUCCACGUGUGGGAUUUUGUAUGUACCAUAUGAAUAAGGAUCGGCUAACUCCGUGCCAGCAGCCGCGGUAAUACGGAGGAUCCGAGCGUUAUCCGGAUUUAUUGGGUUUAAAGGGAGCGUAGGUGGAUUGUUAAGUCAGUUGUGAAAGUUUGCGGCUCAACCGUAAAAUUGCAGUUGAGACUGGCAGUCUUGAGUACAGUAGAGGUGGGCGGAAUUCGUGGUGUAGCGGUGAAAUGCUUAGAUAUCACGAAGAACUCCGAUUGCGAAGGCAGUUCACUGGACUGCAACUGACACUGAGGCUCGAAAGUGUGGGUAUCAAACAGGAUUAGAUACCCUUGUAGUA
RNAcentral lists this ribosomal RNA (460 nucleotides) under uncultured bacterium. RNAcentral describes it as "partial 16S ribosomal RNA". It matches the Rfam family "Bacterial small subunit ribosomal RNA", at positions 338 to 795 of the family's 1533-position model. The record is from RNAcentral.